AUAAAGCAAGGCACUGAAAAUGCCAAGAUGAGUCGCACGACUCCAUAAACA
RNAcentral lists this transfer RNA (51 nucleotides) under Canis lupus (wolf). Its description in RNAcentral is "partial tRNA-Phe". RNAcentral also lists the same sequence under 1 other name. The record is from RNAcentral. Lineage: Eukaryota; Metazoa; Chordata; Mammalia; Carnivora; Canidae.